This 416-nucleotide ribosomal RNA is filed under the name uncultured bacterium. Its description in RNAcentral is "bacterial SSU rRNA". It matches the Rfam family "Bacterial small subunit ribosomal RNA", at positions 355 to 772 of the family's 1533-position model. The record is from RNAcentral.
UGGGGAAUAUUGCGCAAUGGACGAAAGUCUGACGCAGCGACGCCGCGUGUGGGAUGACGCCUUUCGGGGUGUAAACCACUGUUGCCCGGGACGAAAAGCCCUUUCGAGGGAAUUGACGGUACCGGGUGAGGAAGCACCGGCUAACUCCGUGCCAGCAGCCGCGGUAAAACGUAGGUUCCGAGCGUUAUCCGGAUUUACUGGGCGUAAAGCGUGUUCAGGCGGCUUAGCAAGUCGGGCAUGAAAUCUCUCGGCUCAACCGGGAGAGGCUGUCCGAAACUGCUGGGCUUGAGGGCAGUAGAGGGUGGUGGAAUUCCGGGUGUAGUGGUGAAAUGCGUAGAUAUCCGGAGGAACACCAGUGGCGAAAGCGGCCACCUGGACUGCACCUGACGCUCAAACACGAAAGCUAGGGGAGCGAA